RNAcentral lists this transfer RNA (73 nucleotides) under Sarcophilus harrisii (Tasmanian devil). It matches the Rfam family "tRNA". Rfam says of the family: Transfer RNA (tRNA) molecules are approximately 80 nucleotides in length. Their secondary structure includes four short double-helical elements and three loops (D, anti-codon, and T loops). Lineage: Eukaryota; Metazoa; Chordata; Mammalia; Dasyuromorphia; Dasyuridae. The record is from Rfam by way of RNAcentral.
GCUAGAGUAGCACAGUGGAUAGAGCACCAGUCCUGAAAUCAGGAGGACUUGAGUUCAAAUCUGGUCUCAGGCA